UGGGGAAUAUUGCACAAUGGGGGAAACCCUGAUGCAGCGACGCCGCGUGAGCGAAGAAGGUUUUCGAAUCGUAAAGCUCUGUCCUAUGGGAAGAUAAUGACGGUACCAUAGGAGGAAGCCCCGGCUAACUACGUGCCAGCAGCCGCGGUUAUACUUAGGGGGCAAGCGUUGUCCGGAAUCACUGGGCGUAAAGGGUUCGCAGGCGGAAAUGCAAGUCAGCUGUGAAAGGCAAAGGCUCAACCUCUGUAAGCAAUUGAAACUGUAUUUCUUGAGAUGUGAAGAGGAAAGUGGAAUUCCUAUGGUAGCGGUGAAAUGCGUAGAUAUUAGGAAGAAUACCGGUGGCGAAGGCGACUUGCUGGACACAAACUGACGCAGAGGAACGAAAGCGUGGGUAGCAAACAGG
This 403-nucleotide ribosomal RNA is filed under the name Fusobacteriota bacterium. Its description in RNAcentral is "Fusobacteria bacterium partial 16S ribosomal RNA". It matches the Rfam family "Bacterial small subunit ribosomal RNA", at positions 355 to 776 of the family's 1533-position model. Lineage: Bacteria; Fusobacteriati; Fusobacteriota. The record is from RNAcentral.